Molecule: long non-coding RNA, 1320 nt
Filed under: Chrysemys picta bellii (western painted turtle)
Lineage: Eukaryota; Metazoa; Chordata; Testudines; Emydidae
Description: lncRNA (ENSCPBG00000019830.1)
Source: RNAcentral
AAUGAAGACUGAUCCCGUUCAAACCAUAUGCAGUGUUGUUGUAGAUGUGUCAGUCCCAAGAUAUUAGAGAGAUAAGGAGGGUGAGAUAAUAUCCUUUAUGGGACCAACUUCUGUUGGUGAGAGAGACAAGCUUUCAAGCAACACGGAGCUCUUCUUCAGGUCACGGAAACUCACUCAGCGUGCAAAAAUGAACACUGUCUUCCUUGCGCACAGUUUAACAGUGCUGAGUCUCAUGAAUGGAUGGUUAAAAGCAUCAGUCAAACAUCAGGCUACAAACAAUGGCAUUUCAGAGUCAUGUACUGUAUUACUGACAGUUAUCUUUCUGUAAUAUACACAGGUUUUUGGAAUGCAACCCACACAGUAGUCACUAUUUCCCCAGCCAGGAUUGUUGAGCCCGCCAUUCACCACCCUAAGAAUGAUAAUAUGCUAACAGAGUGUGUGCAGCACUCACCAAAACCCUGAGAGAUGACAGUCACCGGUGGCUUCCCAGGACACUAAAUAGGAAGAAGUAGUGACAUGACUCAGUAACACCAAGAGCCACAUUGUGAGAGUUGAAAACUGCGUGGGGCAUGCAAUGAAAGCAGCGAAGCAGCAGGGGCAACACUAUCUAUGGACAAGGACAGUUAGAUUACAGAUUUAACACACACACAAAAUUACGCAGCAACAGCGAGAUGGCUGGAAACCUUGGAAAACCACCAACUGAACAGAACGUCAGUGUUUGGAGAGUCCUGUUUGGGAGCUGGCCACAGAUAGCGUGCAGUAAACUGUUGCCAGACGUGUUGCUUAUUGAUUUUUUCUGAAGAGCCCAUUUGAACUGGAUGUGCAUUCUGAAUCCCCAAUGAGAGUCCCAGCUGGAGGAGGCAAUUCUGGAGGCACUAUACAUAUUACACUUUAGGACUCCAGGGACCGGGAUAGGUUUUUACAAGCAGCUAAAAUGAAGAAAGAGAUCAUAUGGGAAGGUGCUAGGCUCCUAUCGUUUCCGGACAUAAGUCCUAUAACCCAGGGCAAAAGGGAAGAAUUAACUGUGGUUUUAAAAAAAAAAAAGUUGUGAUAUAAAAUGUGUCUGCAUGAGUCUCUCUAGCCUGCCAAACGGCACAUUGUGCACAGUGAGAAAACUGACAUCUUUCAGAAAGUAGACGCAGCUUACAACAAGUCACUGUCGAAAGCAAAGAAGACAAGAGAGAAACUGUAAGAAGUUAGUCAGAGACUAAGGCCUGUGAUUUACCGCCCACCCCAGGGCUUGGAGUGCUGAAACUCUCCCUAUAAAUUAUAAAUGUAUAUAAAUUAAUAAAUGAACACAGUCACCACUUCUGGGGACCA